This 766-nucleotide ribosomal RNA is filed under the name Neobenedenia girellae. RNAcentral describes it as "LSU rRNA". It matches the Rfam family "Eukaryotic large subunit ribosomal RNA", at positions 68 to 634 of the family's 3401-position model. Lineage: Eukaryota; Metazoa; Platyhelminthes; Monogenea; Capsalidea; Capsalidae. The record is from RNAcentral.
AACAGGAUUCUCUUAGUAACUGCGAGUGAACAGAGAUUAGCCCAACAUCGAAGCCACCAUGCAUUUGUAUGGGAGGCAAUGUGAUGUUUUGGUGUUUGAACGCACUGUCUGGCUAACUUGAAGUCCAUAUUUGACUGUGGCUUGUAUUUAUACACCCAGAGAUGGUGAUAGGCCCGUUCAGGUUGGUAUUCUGGCAUGACAGUUCAGUGUGUAAUCAUUCAUCAUAGAGUCGGAUUGCUUGAGAGUGCAGUCCAAAAUGGGUGGUAAACUCCAUCUAAGGCUAAAUACCUGUACGAGUCCGAUAGUCAACAAGUACCGUGAGGGAAAGUUGAAAAGUACUCUGAAGAGAGAGUAAAUAGUACGUGAAACCACAUGGAGGUUAAACAAAUAGAGUCAAGCUGCUUGCAUCAUAUCAUUGCAAUAUGCGCAUUUUGUUGCAUGACAUUUGCCGGGACCUGGCGUGUGAUUCUGUCUACUUGUAGGCAUUUGAACAUGUGUUUGUUGUUGAAAGGUCUCGGUGAGUGUCUGCGCUUAUUGUUCAUGAUGGGUGCUAAUGCCAUAGUCGGUUGUACUACCAGUGCGCAGUAAUCGGCGAUUGUGCGGGCUGACUUAUUGUCGUUCGUGCAAUCAGUGAAACAGUUGGCAACAGUGUGUGCUUGCAUCCGCUUUUGUCAAGAAGCCACGCCUGUUGAUUACUGUGAACAUUGUGAGAGUCGACCGUCAUAUGUGCUCUAUAAUUGUGGAGUAAGUCGACUUGUCGACUACU